UGAUUCUCCUGCCUCAGCCUCCUGAGUAGCUGGCAUUACAGUGAAAGAGGACAAUCGAACUUGGUUUCAACUCAAGGGUUAAAGAAAGGGUGAAAAAAAUGAAUAGAAGAAAGUCUUCAUUCUGGAAAGAGACCCAUUUUGAAGUUCAGCUGGAACAGACUAUUUUAUAAUUUUGUAUAAAAAAUUAUAUCUUCAUAAUCAACUUGAUUAUUUGAUUUAUAAUGUAAAAAGCAUAAUGUUUCUUAUGGUCUAUAAAUAACCACUUUUUUCAAGCAUGACAGAUUAAGUGAAAACAAAGAGAGUGAACAAAAAUGGGACGGUGUCAUGAAUCUGUAUCUGCCCUGAGGAAGAGGGCAGUACUUUUGGGGAGCGCAAUUUACAUGAGCAUCUGGGUCUUUUGUCAUGUUUUGGAUGGAUGACCUGAGUCUGAUAUAUUGGUGAAUAGCAUUAACAAAGGUCUGGUUGUCAAAGGCUAGGAAGAAAAAUGCAAUUAGCCACAGCAAUGAGGUUAUGUCUAUGUUUGGGGAUAAAGAACCAAUACCUAAAUGGCAAUGGAAAACACUGGAAUGAUACCAUUAGCAAAAGGCCAGAUUUGUGUGUGUGUGUGUGCGUGUGUGUGUAUACCUAUUAUACAGUCAUCUUCACUCAGCAGGUUAUACAAAAAAGUCAUUUCUUUGGCAAUGUUUGACUCAUGUAAUAAGAACAAAUAUGUACCUGUUACUAAAGAAAAUGACCUGGUGAGCUUGAUGAAUUUAUAACUCAUAACACACUAAUUUCAUCAACCUAACAUGUGUAAUUCUGUUUGUUUCUAUUUAAAGAAAAUUAGAAUUAAAUAAAGGGCAUUUGGAGGCCGAAAGAAGUUUGCUCUUUUUUCAGUCUCAUUUUUUUCUGUAAACCUUGCGAUCCAGCAUAGAGAACCAUAUCUAAUCUGCCAAUUAGGUCAGGCCCCAGGAUAAUCAAUCUCCUUAACAGCAGAUGCCUUGUUUUAGCAAAUGAAUGCUUGGUUUCAAAAGAAGUUUUGUGUUGAGAGAACACUGCAGUUGGCAUGGGUGAUUAGAACUCUUUUAAAUCCUAUAAAAAGCUUCUAUAGAUUGUUUUAUGCCCACAUUUUGUGAACUGAAGUAAAUGCUGUAUAUAUUUAUCUUCAAAUGAACAUGGUGGGGACUUUAUACAGCCUGUAAGGACAUCUAUAUGCAUACACAUGCAAUUAUUUGCAGUCUAAAAUGUUUAUGUUCAUUUGAAUUAAACUGUGUUUUUGAUAAAAUUUAAAAUGCAUUUAUAUAUAUUUUGAGUAGGUGCUUUUAUAUUUAUUAAGUAUGCUCCUUAAUAACAAUAACUUAAUUAUUAGAAUAGCAUUGUUUGAACUGAAAAUAUAAUGACAAGUUAAUAUGAUUUUCGUGUUUGUUGUUUGGACCACUUUUACAUUAGUUUUUAAGUGCCCUUCUUUCUAUCUGAUGCCUGCUCAGUUCAUACUUGUAAUUUGUGUUAAUGGGCAAUGUGUGUGAGAUAACUUUGAAACCAGGAAAAAAAAAUUUUAAAUUAAAUUUUAUAAACAAUAUAUAUUA
Sapajus apella (tufted capuchin) is the source of this 1565-nucleotide long non-coding RNA. RefSeq lists it as uncharacterized. The record is from RefSeq and is a predicted model, not a curated record. The transcript has 2 exons. Lineage: Eukaryota; Metazoa; Chordata; Mammalia; Primates; Cebidae.